UUUGUCUACACAUGCCACAGACUAAAGCCUAAUAUCUCUUAGAGUAGUCUAGGAGAGUGUACCCCACCUCACAAAGGUGGAAUGGUCUCACUCCAUCAGACUUAUCUCCAAGAGUAGUUAAACAAAAGGAUAGUCAUGAUUACACAUGCUGUAGACUACGAUUGCUUACCGUAGUAAAAAAUAAAAUAUAAUAUCCAAACAUG
Molecule: long non-coding RNA, 203 nt
Filed under: Musa acuminata (dwarf banana)
Lineage: Eukaryota; Viridiplantae; Streptophyta; Magnoliopsida; Zingiberales; Musaceae
Description: long non-coding RNA (MACU_LNC000580)
Source: RNAcentral